AAUCAACGCUGGCGGCGUGCCUAACACAUGCAAGUCGCACGAGAAAGGGACUUCGGUCCUGAGUACAGUGGCGCACGGGUGAGUAACACGUGAAUAAUCUACCUCCGAGUGGGGAAUAACUGAGAGAAAUCUUAGCUAAUACCGCAUAACACUUACGAGUCAAAGCAGCAAUGCGCUUGGAGAGGAGUUCGCGGCAGAUUAGUUAGUUGGCAGGGUAAUGGCCUACCAAGACGAUGAUCUGUAUCCGGCCUGAGAGGGCGCACGGACACACUGGAACUGAAACACGGUCCAGACUCCUACGGGAGGCAGCAGUGGGGAAUUUUGCGCAAUGGGGGAAACCCUGACGCAGCAACGCCGCGUGGAGGAUGAAAUCCCUUGGGAUGUAAACUCCUUUCGAUCGGGAAGAUAAUGACGGUACCGAGAGAAGAAGCCCCGGCUAACUUCGUGCCAGCCGCCGCCGUAAC
Molecule: ribosomal RNA, 464 nt
Filed under: uncultured bacterium
Lineage: Bacteria
Description: bacterial SSU rRNA
Rfam family: Bacterial small subunit ribosomal RNA
Source: RNAcentral